RNAcentral lists this ribosomal RNA (1204 nucleotides) under Vibrio parahaemolyticus. RNAcentral describes it as "bacterial SSU rRNA". It matches the Rfam family "Bacterial small subunit ribosomal RNA", at positions 40 to 1210 of the family's 1533-position model. Lineage: Bacteria; Pseudomonadati; Pseudomonadota; Gammaproteobacteria; Vibrionales; Vibrionaceae. The record is from RNAcentral.
CUGCAUGGCGGAGCUACCAUGCAGUCGAGCGGAACGAGUUAUCUGAACCUUCGGGGGACGAUAACGGCGUCGAGCGGCGGACGGGUGAGUAAUGCCUAGGAAAUUGCCCUGAUGUGGGGGAUAACCAUUGGAAACGAUGGCUAAUACCGCAUGAUGCCUACGGGCCAAAGAGGGGGACCUUCGGGCCUCUCGCGUCAGGAUAUGCCUAGGUGGGAUUAGCUAGUUGGUGAGGUAAGGGCUCACCAAGGCGACGAUCCCUAGCUGGUCUGAGAGGAUGAUCAGCCACACUGGAACUGAGACACGGUCCAGACUCCUACGGGAGGCAGCAGUGGGGAAUAUUGCACAAUGGGCGCAAGCCUGAUGCAGCCAUGCCGCGUGUGUGAAGAAGGCCUUCGGGUUGUAAAGCACUUUCAGUCGUGAGGAAGGUGGUGGUGUUAAUAGCACUAUCAUUUGACGUUAGCGACAGAAGAAGCACCGGCUAACUCCGUGCCAGCAGCCGCGGUAAUACGGAGGGUGCGAGCGUUAAUCGGAAUUACUGGGCGUAAAGCGCAUGCAGGUGGUUUGUUAAGUCAGAUGUGAAAGCCCGGGGCUCAACCUCGGAAUUGCAUUUGAAACUGGCAGACUAGAGUACUGUAGAGGGGGGUAGAAUUUCAGGUGUAGCGGUGAAAUGCGUAGAGAUCUGAAGGAAUACCGGUGGCGAAGGCGGCCCCCUGGACAGAUACUGACACUCAGAUGCGAAAGCGUGGGGAGCAAACAGGAUUAGAUACCCUGGUAGUCCACGCCGUAAACGAUGUCUACUUGGAGGUUGUGGCCUUGAGCCGUGGCUUUCGGAGCUAACGCGUUAAGUAGACCGCCUGGGGGAGUACGGUCGCAAGAUUAAAACUCAAAUGAAUUGACGGGGGCUCGCCACAAGCGGUGGAGCAUGUGGUUUAAUUCGAUGCAACGCGAGAACCUUACCUACUCUUGACAUCCAGAAGAACUUUCCAGAGAUGGAUUGGUGCCUUCAGGACUCUGAGAACAGGUGCUGCAUGGCUGUCGUCAGCUCGUGUUGUGAAAUGUUGGAUUAAGGUCCCGCACGAGCGCAACCGUUUAUCCUUGUUUUGCUAGCGAGUAAUGUUCAGGUAACUUCCAGGCAGAACUGCCGGUGAAUAACCCGGAGAGGGUGGGGACACACGUUCAGGUCAUCUCUUGCUCCUUCCGAGAG